GUGAGUAAUAUAUCGGAACGUGUCCUGUAGCGGGGGAUAACCUAUCGAAAGAUGGACUAAUACCGCAUACGACCUACGGGUGAAAGCGGAGGACCGCAAGGCUUCGCACUAUAGGAGCGGCCGAUAUCGGAUUAGCUAGUUGGUGAGGUAAAAGCUCACCAAGGCGACGAUCCGUAGCUGGUCUGAGAGGACGACCAGCCACACUGGAACUGAGACACGGUCCAGACUCCUACGGGAGGCAGCAGUGGGGAAUUUUGGACAAUGGGCGCAAGCCUGAUCCAGCCAUGCCGCGUGAGUGAAGAAGGCCUUCGGGUUGUAAAGCUCUUUCGGCGGGGACGAAAUGGUCCGUGCUAAUA
This 356-nucleotide ribosomal RNA is filed under the name uncultured bacterium. RNAcentral describes it as "SSU rRNA". It matches the Rfam family "Bacterial small subunit ribosomal RNA", at positions 106 to 465 of the family's 1533-position model. The record is from RNAcentral.